GCCACUGCAGCGAUGGAGACCAAGCGAAGAAAUUUCCCCUGAAAAUGCAGCUAUGCCCUUGAGCGGCAUCUGCCUCCCAAGAGCGGAGCGAUAGUUGACCCAGCGAAGCUGUGCCUACCUAGGGCAAGUGAACCGGCCGGUCUAUCUAAAUCAGUGCUCCGGUCUGACGCAGAGAAAAUUAAAACUGUGGUGCCUUGAACUCUAAAUUGAUUCUUCGAAAACAUUUGGAGAAAAUGUUUUAUAAUUUUGGGGAUAACAGUACCUGUAAGUUCAGAUAAAGAAAUUAAUUUAUAUAUAUAUAUUUAUUUUCCUCUUUUUCUCUCCCUCCUCUCGAGUGGUGGCGCGCAAUUCUCUUUCCCGAAUUGAUCCGUCAGUCUAAGCCCUAACCACUACAACCUUCAAAUCUUCCUCCAGUCACCAUUUGUGAAAAUACCGCGUUCAAUUACCUUCCUUCAUUAUCGAAUUAGCCUUCAACUUUGUCCAACCCUAAUUAUUUUACGGUAAAUUCCCCCAAUUUCUUUACCGUAACCUCUUUUCUUCCACCAACGACGAUGAAGCCAACAGCACCACUUGUUCCAAUUCCAGCUGCCUACGAAUCCACUGGAAAGCAUGGAAGAAAGGUUGUGUUGAAUUGAUUCGAUUUGAGUAAUUAAGGGCAUUCGAUGAAAAUCUGCAUAUAACAAGCUGUUGCUGUGCGCGUAUUCUGGAAUUUUCAGAAUGUUCAGAAAUAGAUUUGACACUUAGUUUGCAAUAAGUGUGAGGAUGUCGAUGUUUGGAAAGUUCCUAAACCACGAAGAUACUUCAAUGAUGUCGAAAAAGGGAGUUCCGUUGCAUCAUAUUUUGAAUGUUGCAUUACAUCUAUGAUAAAUUAUGCUAUGUUGAAGUGUUGUUUGGUUUGAUUGUAGCUCCCUCCGAUUUUUAUCAAGGUUGUUCGUGGACAAACAACAAUUCAAGUGUGAGGAGGGAAGUCAUCGGCACCACCAAAAAUUUUGAAAAGAAUUCGGCUGGAACAUCUACAAAAUCAGGGAAGUUUAUUUGCAUUAUAAUUAAUCUCUUUGCUUAGGUCUUGUAAUGUAUUUUUGGUGCUAUGUUACUUGGUUAUUUGUAUAAUAAUGUAUAUUAAGUUGUUAAAGUUAGUCUCUAGUGUUGUUUUGUAGGUGUGCUUUUAGUUUAGUUAGAUUAGUUACAGUAAUUGUUAUAUAUGCAAGAAUAGGAUAGUAUGUUGUAAUUCGUUGGCUUAGUUUCAAUCGAUAGCUUAAGUUGCUGCUGCAUUUCAUUAGUCUUAGAUGGCCUUGUUUUGGAUUAAGUCUGCUGUUGUGUUUUGCAUUAGUAUAAGAGUGCUAGUUGGACAGUUUACCUGCAGUAGUAAAACAGAUUGACAUUCUGAUGUUGCCCUUGGUUGCCUGCUUGUUUAAUAAGAUUAGAUGAGUUUAGUUCUUUGGUUAAUUUUAAUCUCUGUUGUACCUUUAACAUAACUUUAGUUUCGUGUUUUGCUUCCACUUAUUUUCUAAUUAAAUUGGUUGCAGAGUAUGAUAGCUAAGUUAACAUAGUUCUUUGUUUGAUUUUAAUUUAUGUUUAAUUGUUUAGUUUAGAUAGAUAAUCAGAGGUUCAUUUAAUUAAUUAGUAUUUUUUUAAAUUUAUUUGGGGUUAAUUUAUUUUGGCUUAAAUUAUUCCUAUUUAUUUUCAAUCUAUGUUGUUUAAUUUAUGUCGAUUAAUUUAUUUUGUUUAAUUUGUUGUUGUCUAAUUUAUGUUGAAUUAAAUUAUUUUAUAUUAUUAUAUUUAUUUUUAUUUAAAAUAAAGUUAGCCGCAAAAUAUGUUAUUUUCUCGAGUCAAUCGAUUUUAAUUGUGUUUCAUUUGAGUUUGAAUUUGAAUCUAUUCAAUAAUUGAAAUUCUUUUAAGUAUAAGUAUAAAUCGGGAUUUUGAUAAAGUUGGUCGAUAUCCCCUUCAUUUCAUUUGUUCCAUACUUAGUCUAAUUUUUAGAACUUUCGGCUAUUUAGUUGCGCUUGUUAGCGGAGAGGAUAGAAUAUGUUUCCUUAAAAAUGGGAUUGACGAACGAAUAGUGUGAGGAGAAUGCUGAUUAUCUUUAUAUGUGACUUAACUUGGCAAAAAAAAAAAAAAUUGACGCAAAAAAUGUCAAAAUUAAUUUAUUCUCCGUGGCAAAGUCUACCGGACCGUCUUGCUUCUUAAUUUAUUGCACCAUGUAAUUUAUUGCGGCAGUAUAUUUAAAACUUUGAGUCGUCGCAUCAUCUUUGGAAGCUACUCCGAAUACUUAAGUUUGAAAAUAUUUCGGGAGACAUAAUUUAGAGUCUUUGUAGAUGAGCAAUAAUUCAUAAAUGACUUAAGGAUCUGAAUUUUAGCUAAGAUUCGCUUGCACACCAUUGUUGAUAUUACCGACAAUAUUGAGUCCUUAUUUAGAAAAUACUUGGUUUAAUUUCACUAAUUGAAUUUAUUCGAGGAUGAAUAAAGGUUAAGUGUGAGGAGUUUGAUAACUCUUGUUUGGACAUAUUUUAUAACUUAUUUUUAAUUAAUUAAUUAAUUAUUUAUGUCGAGUUUAGGUAUAAUUUAUGUAAAUUUCUAGUGACAGUAGAGUUUCUGCAAUUUAUCUUUUCAGUUUCUUCAAUUUAUCUCCUCAUUUCAUCCAUUGAAAUCUAGCCAUUAAGGAACGCAAAAGUCAGACACAAACGCCUCGCUUCAUCCUUUUUGAGAUACGAUAUUCGCAUAUUCCCUGAGUUUGACCCGAGCACUCACUGGUUAAAGAUAUUUUUUUAUUUUUGACGAAAUUUUGGAGUUACUACACGAACACGCACGACACUAUUUUCAUUUUAUACAUAUAUCAUUUUUGUGUAUCUUAAAAGAUAUUUUUAAAUCUCCAAAAAUCUUCGAUCAACCGCCAACAGCAUCAA
Andrographis paniculata is the source of this 2903-nucleotide long non-coding RNA. RefSeq lists it as uncharacterized. The transcript is spliced from 3 exons. NCBI's taxonomy places the organism in Eukaryota, Viridiplantae, Streptophyta, Magnoliopsida, Lamiales, Acanthaceae. The record is from RefSeq and is a predicted model, not a curated record.